GCCAUAUUGUUUCCAUAUAAAGUUUAUUUACAGUAUCUGUCUCUCUGAAGGGGAGUCUUGCUAACGCUGCCUAACUAGGUGCAAAAACAAAGCCAAUCACAGAGAGGAAUAACCUGCAGACAGAGAUGAGGAAAGUAGGGGAAGAUCUCCUAAACAGACUCAAGGGCUUACCUCAGGCAGAUAGCCCGCGUAUCGUAUCAUUUGCCAUCAUCAUUAUAUUUAUUGGGAUCGUGCUGCUGCUGCUUUCCCUCGGGUGCUGCUACCCAAUCUACACCCAGCACCGGAGAAGAACCCGAAGGCAUGAAGAUACAAUGCUAUAAAUGAGCGUCCCAGCACGGCCCUGCCAAAAGAACAUUCCGGCCUGCUGGGGGCGCUAACAUGGGAUAAUGCGCCUGUAUAAAGAUAAUUGCAAAUAAACGUUCAGCCAUAUUGUCGUGAA
This is a long non-coding RNA of Xenopus tropicalis (tropical clawed frog), 439 nucleotides long. RefSeq lists it as uncharacterized. The transcript is spliced from 2 exons. Lineage: Eukaryota; Metazoa; Chordata; Amphibia; Anura; Pipidae. The record is from RefSeq and is a predicted model, not a curated record.